GUCGAGCGGUAACAGAUCCAGCUUGCUGGAUGCUGACGAGCGGCGGACGGGUGAGUAAUGCAUAGGAAUCUGCCCGAUAGUGGGGGAUAACCUGGGGAAACCCAGGCUAAUACCGCAUACGUCCUACGGGAGAAAGGGGGCUCCGGCUCCCGCUAUGGGAUGAGCCUAUGUCGGAUUAGCUAGUUGGUGAGGUAACGGCUCACCAAGGCCACGAUCCGUAGCUGGUCUGAGAGGAUGAUCAGCCACAUCGGGACUGAGACACGGCCCGAACUCCUACGGGAGGCAGCA
This 288-nucleotide ribosomal RNA is filed under the name Vreelandella aquamarina. RNAcentral's name for it is "partial 16S ribosomal RNA". It matches the Rfam family "Bacterial small subunit ribosomal RNA", at positions 61 to 353 of the family's 1533-position model. The record is from RNAcentral. Lineage: Bacteria; Pseudomonadati; Pseudomonadota; Gammaproteobacteria; Oceanospirillales; Halomonadaceae.